ACAUUUUGUUUGAGUGGUAGGUGUAGUAGAUAGGUAGAUAGGUGACAUUUUGUUGGAGCGGUAGGUGUAGUAGGUAGGUUACAUUUGUUGGAGCGGUAGUUGUGGUAGUUAGGUGACAUUUUGUUGGAGCGGUAGGUGUAGUAGAUAGGUAGGUAGGUGUAGUAGAUAGGUGACAUUUUGUUGGAGCGGU
Salmo salar (Atlantic salmon) is the source of this 190-nucleotide non-coding RNA. The record is from RefSeq and is a predicted model, not a curated record. Lineage: Eukaryota; Metazoa; Chordata; Actinopteri; Salmoniformes; Salmonidae.